CUGUGCUCGCGGCCGUCCGGCCCGUCCGGCAGCCCCGGGUCAGCCCGGUGAACUAAGCGGACCCGGGAUGGCCGAGCCGGGGGCCGGCGUUCUGUGCUCCGUUUGCUCACCCUGACCGUGGCACCCGCAUAAGCCGUCUGUGUGUUCCAGAGAGGCCAGCCCUGCAUGUGCUGUCCGUGAGCGUGCUUGGACCUACGCAUAGGACCCAGCUGAGCGGGACAUUUACACGACUGCUGGGGUCGAGGGCAGAACAGGGGGAAACUGUGUUCUGGCGGAGGCACAGCACCCCGGGAGCACCCAGAGCCUGUGAGUAGAGCCAUAGGCUGUGACACUCCCUUGGCUGGUGUAUUGGCCCAACGCCACCUCCAGGAAGAACACCGGGAUGCCGCAGACAAAGAAGAAGAUGAAGUAGGGGAUGAAGAAGGCUCCUGCAGAAGAGAGAGAGGCAGGGCUGAGCCACACCCGGGCUCUUCCUCAGCCUCCAUCCUUUCAGACCCUCCUCCCCCAACAAACCCGCCCUCCACCAUCCUGUUCUUAAUCUCCCUCCUGACACUUUCCAAGGGCCCACUCCUGCCUGCGUGCAGUCCUGAGUGUUAGGCAGGCACAGGUGGGAAUGUUCUGAUCUGAACCCUACACAGAAUGAGAAAGGCCUUGGAAGGGAAAUUAGUGAAAACUUAGGUGGAAAUUCUAAUAUAUGCACUAUUUAUUUUCUUAGUGUGCUUUACAAAUCUAGUCAAUAGAUUAUUUUUGGAAUAAACACAUGGCUUCUGUAUAACUUGAUAUGCUUAUUAAACUCUUGGUACAUUUUAGAGAAAAACAAAC
This 822-nucleotide long non-coding RNA is filed under the name Homo sapiens (human). RNAcentral's name for it is "HSALNT0366010". Lineage: Eukaryota; Metazoa; Chordata; Mammalia; Primates; Hominidae. The record is from RNAcentral.